RNAcentral lists this unclassified non-coding RNA (204 nucleotides) under uncultured fungus. Its description in RNAcentral is "sequence contains ITS1, 5.8S rRNA gene". The record is from RNAcentral. Lineage: Eukaryota; Fungi.
CAAAUCCAACGUCUCCUCAUCCGAGACACCGUUGAAACAAAGGUUGUAGCCAUGACGUGAAAGAGACUUGAUAGACCAUAGCGCAAGGGGCUCUCUUUUGAUGAUGCUUCCGUGCUAUUGUCUGUCUAGCCCCUCUUUCUGUCUUGUCUGCACACCAAACUCACUAGAAACUGUUGAUCAUUUGUAUGCUUCUUAACAAAGAAA